RNAcentral lists this transfer RNA (68 nucleotides) under Pleroneura sp. 1 GYN-2021b. RNAcentral describes it as "tRNA-Ile". Lineage: Eukaryota; Metazoa; Arthropoda; Insecta; Hymenoptera; Xyelidae. The record is from RNAcentral.
AAUGAAAUGCCUGAUUAAAGGGUUAUUUUGAUAGAAUAAAUCAAGUAAAGUUUUAUUUACUUUCAUUA